RNAcentral lists this ribosomal RNA (484 nucleotides) under uncultured bacterium. RNAcentral's name for it is "partial 16S ribosomal RNA". It matches the Rfam family "Bacterial small subunit ribosomal RNA", at positions 29 to 507 of the family's 1533-position model. The record is from RNAcentral.
AUUGAACGCUGGCGGAAUGCUUUACACAUGCAAGUCGAGCGGCAGCACGGGGGCAACCCUGGUGGCGAGCGGCGAACGGGUGAGUAAUACAUCGGAACAUGCCCAGUCGUGGGGGAUAACACUUCGAAAGAAGUGCUAAUACCGCAUACGUCCUGAGGGGGAAAGCGGGGGAUCGCAAGACCUCGCGCGAUUGGAGUGGCCGAUGUCAGAUUAGCUAGUUGGUGGGGUAAAGGCCUACCAAGGCAACGAUCUGUAGCUGGUCUGAGAGGAGGAUCAGCCACACGGGGACUGAGACAGGGCCCAGACUCCUACGGGAGGCAGCAGUGGGGAAUUUUGGACAAUGGGGGCAACCCUGAUCCAGCCAUUCCGCGUGAGUGAAGAAGGCCUUCGGGUUGUAAAGCUCUUUCGGCAGGAACGAAACGGUGAGCUCUAACAUAGCUUGCUAAUGACGGUACCUGAAGAAGAAGCACCGGCUAACUACGUG